GAUGACGAUCGCCCGCGCGCCCGCCGCGUUCAGCCGCGCGAUGUGCGCGGCGUGCGCGCCGGCGUCGCCCGCGAUGGCGACCCACAGGUCGGCCGCGCGCGGCUGCUCCGGCGGCGCGAGACAGAUCCGCGUGCGCACGGCCGGCCGCGGCCACGCACCGAGCGUCGCGCGAAUCCGCUCGGCGGCCUCGGUAAGCUCGUCGGCGGGCGGCCAGAACGCGUCGGGCAACGCGGCGCUCAUGCGUGGCUCCCGUCCUGGUGCCAGAACGGCAUGCCGACGACGGGCGUGCUCGCGUGCGCGCUCUCGCGCGCAUCCAUCGGCCCCGCGAGAUACGCGGCGCGCCCCGCCUCGACGCCCCGUGCGAACGCGCGCGCCAUGAUUUCCGGAUGCGUCGCCUGCGACACGGCCGUGUUCAGCAACACGCCGUCGAAGCCCCACUCCAUCACCUGGCACGCGUGCGACGGCACGCCGAGCCCCGCGUCAACGAUGAGCGGCACGUCCGGCAGCCGCUCGCGCAGCACGCGCAGCCCGUACGGAUUCACGAUGCCCUUGCCGGUGCCGAUCGGCGCGCCCCACGGCAUCAGCGCCUCGCAGCCGGCGUCGAGCAGGCGCCGGGCGAUCACGAGAUCCUCGGUGCAAUACGGCAGCACCUUGAAGCCGUCCUUCACGAGCAGCGUCGCCGCUUCGAUCAAGCCGACCGGGUCCGGCUGCAACGUGUAGUCGUCGCCGAUCAGCUCGAGCUUGAUCCAGUCGGUCUCGAAUACCUCGCGCGCCAUCUGUGCGGUCGUCACCGCCUCGGCGAUCGUCUGGCAGCCCGCCGUGUUUGGCAAGAGCGGCACGUCGUGGCGCUUGAGCAGCUCGAAGAAACCGGCCUCGGCCGCGCCGGCGUUCAUCUGGCGACGCAGCGCGACCGUCACCAUGCCCGGGCGCGCGGCCGCGAUCGAAUCGGACAGCGAUUGCAGCGACGGAUAGCGCGACGUGCCGAGCAGCACGCGGCUCGCGAAGGUUUGGCCGUGCAGCGUGAGCGUAUCGGCGGAAGAAAGAGGCGUCAUCGGAAGAUCCUGUGGGAACGGGGAGCGGGGGCGAGGCGCGCGCGGCGGCGCGUCAGCCGCCCGCGACCGGAUGCACGAUGUCGAGCUUGUCGCCCGCGGCGAGCGCACGCGCCGCAUGCUGCGUGCGCGCGACGAACGCGCCGUUGACCGCGACCGCGAACGGCGGUCGCGCGCCGUAUGCGGCGAGCGCGUCGGCCACCGUCGCGCCGUCGGGCAGCGAGAACGUCUGUUGGUUGACCUGGAUGUCCAUGAUGGCUGUCGAUGUCGAUUGAUCGGAAUUGGCCGGCUCGUCCGGCGCUCACGCGGACGCGUGCGCCGCGCGCUGCUGCAGCAGCGCCGGCCAGCG
This 1398-nucleotide ribosomal RNA is filed under the name Burkholderia mallei FMH. RNAcentral's name for it is "16S ribosomal RNA". Lineage: Bacteria; Pseudomonadati; Pseudomonadota; Betaproteobacteria; Burkholderiales; Burkholderiaceae. The record is from RNAcentral.